CACGGGUGCGUAACGCGUAUACAAUCUACCUUUUGCUGAGGGAUAGCCCAGAGAAAUUUGGAUUAACACCUCAUAGUAUGAUGAUUUGGCAUCAAGAUAUCAUUAAAGGUUAUGGCAGAAGAUGAGUAUGC
This 131-nucleotide ribosomal RNA is filed under the name Gammaproteobacteria bacterium. RNAcentral describes it as "partial 16S ribosomal RNA". It matches the Rfam family "Bacterial small subunit ribosomal RNA", at positions 102 to 234 of the family's 1533-position model. Lineage: Bacteria; Pseudomonadati; Pseudomonadota; Gammaproteobacteria. The record is from RNAcentral.